AUACGGAGGGUGCAAGCGUUACUCGGAAUCACUGGGCGUAAAGCGCGCGCAGGCGGGCUGAUAAGUUGGAUGUGAAAGCCUACGGCUCAACCGUAGAACUGCAUCCAAAACUGUCAGUCUAGAGUCUGGGAGGGGAAGAUGGAAUUAGUUGUGUAGGGGUAAAAUCCGUAGAGAUAACUAGGAAUACCAAGAGCGAAGGCGAUCUUCUGGAACAGUACUGACGCUGAGGCGCGAAAGCGUGGGGAGCAAACAGGAUUAGAAACCCUAGUAGUCC
This 274-nucleotide ribosomal RNA is filed under the name uncultured bacterium. RNAcentral's name for it is "partial 16S ribosomal RNA". It matches the Rfam family "Bacterial small subunit ribosomal RNA", at positions 523 to 796 of the family's 1533-position model. The record is from RNAcentral.